Non-coding RNA from Mesocricetus auratus (golden hamster), 822 nucleotides. NCBI's taxonomy places the organism in Eukaryota, Metazoa, Chordata, Mammalia, Rodentia, Cricetidae. The record is from the annotation of a RefSeq genome assembly.
GGACUGCAUGUGUGGAAGUCAUUCUCAGUGAAGAUACAGCAUCAACAUGGUGCUCCUAUCUGAGCUCCUUAUAGUGCUGCUGUUCUGGUUUGCAGGUGCAAAAUGUGAUAUCCAGAUGACUCAGUCUCCAUCCACUUUGUCUGCAUCUCUGGGAGAAAGUGUCACCAUCACUUGUCAUGCCAGCCAGAACAUUAAUAGUUGGUUAGCAUGGCACCAACAGAAACCAGGGGAUGCUCCUAAACUCUUAAUCUAUAAGACUUCCAAGUUGCAUAAAGACAUACUACCGAAGUUCAGUGGCAGUGGAUCUGGAACAGACUACUCUCUCACCAUUAGUAACUUGCAGGCUGAAGAUGUUGCCACUUAUUAUUGUCAACAGGAUCUUAGUGUUCCUCUCACAGUGAUACAAGUCAUAACACAAACCUCCUAGGGGUGCAUUGAAGCAAGACUGAGUGCCUCAGCUGCUUGUUGUAGUGCCUGCACCUGCAAACUUUUUGUUGCAAGAAUUGGCUGGGCUUUGUAGGUCUUUGGGAGGAUUGCAGAGAACUGCCAGUGUGGCUCUUUUAUUUUUAACUCUCUUCCUCUCAGGCCCAAGAGCACAGACAUGACAGUAUAUCUUAUAAAUCACUUAGAAGUGGUUACUUUUAUGUUUAAGUGAUCCAAAUAUUUCACUCGCUGUGACUUAUAUAGCAACAAGCUCCUUCUAAUUAUACCUCCAGGAAGACUAUUGUAAUUUAUGGAACUACUGUCUUUAUAACAGAAUCUCAUGGUCUGUGUCAUGCUAUGAUUUGAUGCUGCAAUAUCUAAUAAAGCUUACAUUGUAAA